UUAACUAUUAUAUAGUACUCAGACAUCACUAAAAUUCAGAGUUUGAUCCUCUGGCGGGCACAUGCAGGCAGAGCCCACAGUGGAGGCCACGGCCUGCCAAAGCAACAAGAGUAUAUAGACACGGAUGGGGUAUACCCGAAGGUAUCCUUUUAUUAAUGAUCCUUCCGCAGGUUCACCUACGGAAA
Molecule: unclassified non-coding RNA, 185 nt
Filed under: uncultured fungus
Lineage: Eukaryota; Fungi
Description: sequence contains ITS1
Source: RNAcentral